UGGCUCAGGAUGAACGCUGGCGGUAUGCAUUAUACAUGCAAGUCAUACGGGAAUCUUCGGAUUCUAGUGGCGGACGGGUGAGUAACACGUGAGAAUUUGCCCUUAGGAGAAGGAUAACAGAUGGAAACGCCUGCUAAUACUUCAUAUUGCUGAAAAGUGAAAUGGGAAACCGCCUAAGGAAAAGCUCGCGCCUGAUUAGCUAGUUGGUGGGGUAAUAGCCUACCAAGGCUACGAUCAGUAGCUGGUUUGAGAGGAUGAUCAGCCACACUGGGACUGAGAUACGGCCCAGACUCCUACGGGAGGCAGCAGUAGGGAAUUUUCCGCAAUGGGCGAAAGCCUGACGGAGCAAUACCGCGUGAGGGAUGACAGUAAAUAAAUUGUAAACCUCUUUUUUCAGGGAAGAAGAUAUGACGCAAACUGAAGAAUAAGCAUCGGCUAACUCCGUGCCAGCAGCCGCGGUAAUACGGAGGAUGCAAGCGUUGUCCGGAAUCAUUGGGCGUAAAGCGUCUGCAGGUGGUUUAGAAAGUCUGCUGUUAAAGCCUAGGGCCUAACCCUAGAUCAGCAGUGGAAACUCCUAGACUUGAGCAUGAUAAGGGUAGAGGGAAUUUCCAGUGUAGCGGUGAAAUGCGUAGAUAUUGGAAAGAACACCAGUGGCGAAAGCGCUCUACUAGGUCAUAGCUGACACUCAGAGACGAAAGCUAGGGGAGCAAAUGGGAUUAGAUACCCCCAGUAGUCCUAGCCGUAAAC
This 747-nucleotide ribosomal RNA is filed under the name Rhodosorus marinus. RNAcentral describes it as "SSU rRNA". It matches the Rfam family "Bacterial small subunit ribosomal RNA", at positions 20 to 807 of the family's 1533-position model. The record is from RNAcentral. Lineage: Eukaryota; Rhodophyta; Stylonematophyceae; Stylonematales; Stylonemataceae.